AGGCGAAGGCCUUCUUGCUCUGGGGAGGGCCGAGUCGUGGAACGCCAGCUUGGCGACGCCCCCGCACCGUCCCCGAAACGCGUGACGUGAGGGGCAACAGGGCCGUUUCUGGGAGGAAUUGUGCUACUCUGGUUAUAAAGAGAGAUGGUUGGUGCAGUUUCCUCACUUCUAAAUUUGGUAAUUCCGCUGUAUUUGGGAUUUUGACAAGUUUUCCACCUGCUAAGAGAAUAUUCUGAAGCCAGUGUGUUCCUAAACUGAGAGCUAACGGAAAAGGAAAUGCAAGAGACCAAUGAGAUCCUUGUCACAAGAAACAAAGGACACUGGGGAAAAAAAGAAGAGAAACUAUAGAAGCCAGAGAUGGCAGCAUUGACUUCCCUAAAAUCAUGUGGCAAAGGAAAAGCCUGUUCCAGCUCUUCUGUUAUUCCUUUGCCACUGUUCUGUAAGGAAGUCUUUGGAAAUAAAAACAAAAAUCACUAUCAUCUGACACAGAAAUAGAAAAGAUGCAUGCCUCCUCAAUUCCAAUGCCUGACCUUGUUGCCUGGUCCUUUUUUUGUCAUCUGACUGCUAUGAAUUGGUGCUUUUAGAAAUGUGAAAUUUCCUAUUUGAAAUUUGGUUCUGUUUGCCUAGAUGUGAAUAAAAGGUAGAGUUUGA
Long non-coding RNA from Lynx canadensis (Canada lynx), 651 nucleotides. RefSeq lists it as uncharacterized. NCBI's taxonomy places the organism in Eukaryota, Metazoa, Chordata, Mammalia, Carnivora, Felidae. The transcript is spliced from 3 exons. The record is from RefSeq and is a predicted model, not a curated record.